Molecule: ribosomal RNA, 193 nt
Filed under: Candidatus Chloroheliaceae bacterium
Lineage: Bacteria; Bacillati; Chloroflexota; Chloroflexia; Candidatus Chloroheliales; Candidatus Chloroheliaceae
Description: partial 16S ribosomal RNA
Rfam family: Bacterial small subunit ribosomal RNA
Source: RNAcentral
AGCAUGCCGCGGUGAAUACGUUCCCGGGCCUUGUACACACCGCCCGUCACACCACGGGAGUCGAUUGGUCCCGAAGUGCGUGAGCUAACCCGCAAGGGAGGCAGCGUCCUAAGGAAUGGUCGGUGACUGGGGUGAAGUCGUAACAAGGUAGCCGUAGGGGAACCUGCGGCUGGAUCACCUCCUUUCUAAGGAG